RNAcentral lists this ribosomal RNA (496 nucleotides) under uncultured bacterium. RNAcentral's name for it is "partial 16S ribosomal RNA". It matches the Rfam family "Bacterial small subunit ribosomal RNA", at positions 28 to 506 of the family's 1533-position model. The record is from RNAcentral.
GAUGAACGCUGGCGGCGUGCCUAAUACAUGCAAGUCGAGCGAACAGACGAGGAGCUUGCUCCUCUGACGUUAGCGGCGGACGGGUGAGUAACACGUGGAUAACCUACCUAUAAGACUGGGAUAACUUCGGGAAACCGGAGCUAAUACCGGAUAAUAUAUUGAACCGCAUGGUUCAAUAGUGAAAGACGGUUUUGCUGUCACUUAUAGAUGGAUCCGCGCCGCAUUAGCUAGUUGGUAAGGUAACGGCUUACCAAGGCGACGAUGCGUAGCCGACCUGAGAGGGGAAUCGGCCACACUGGAACGGGGACCCGGUCCAAACCCCCACGGGAGGCAGGAGGAGGAAAUCUUCCGCAAGGGGCGAAAGCCUGACGGAGCAACGCCGCGUGAGUGAUGAAGGUCUUCGGAUCGUAAAACUCUUUUAUUAGGGAAGAAAAAAUGUGUAAGUAACUAUGCCCUUUUUGACGGUACCUAAUCAAAAAGCCCCGGCUAACUACGU